GACGAACGCUGGCGGCGUGCUUAACACAUGCAAGUCGAACGGAAAGGCCCUGCUUUUGUGGGGUGCUCGAGUGGCGAACGGGUGAGUAACACGUGAGUAACCUGCCCUUGACUUUGGGAUAACUUCAGGAAACUGGGGCUAAUACCGGAUAGGAGCUCCUGCUGCAUGGUGGGGGUUGGAAAGUUUCGGCGGUUGGGGAUGGACUCGCGGCUUAUCAGCUUGUUGGUGGGGUAGUGGCUUACCAAGGCUUUGACGGGUAGCCGGCCUGAGAGGGUGACCGGCCACAUUGGGACUGAGAUACGGCCCAGACUCCUACGGGAGGCAGCAGUGGGGAAUAUUGCACAAUGGGCAGAAGCCUGAUGCAGCAACGCCGCGUGCGGGAUGACGGCCUUCGGAUUGUAAACCGCUUUCGCCUGUGACGAAGCGUGAGUGACGGUAAUGGGUAAAGAAGCACCGGCUAACUACGUGCCAGCAGCCGCGGUGAUACGUAGGGUGCGAGCGUUGUCCGGAUUUAUUGGGCGUAAAGGGCUCGUAGGUGGUUGAUCGCGUCGGAAGUGUAAUCUUGGGGCUUAACCCUGAGCGUGCUUUCGAUACGGGUUGACUUGAGGAAGGUAGGGGAGAAUGGAAUUCCUGGUGGAGCGGUGGAAUGCGCAGAUAUCAGGAGGAACACCAGUGGCGAAGGCGGUUCUCUGGGCCUUUCCUGACGCUGAGGAGCGAAAGCGUGGGGAGCGAACAGGCUUAGAUACCCUGGUAGUCCACGCUGUAAACGGUGGGUACUAGGUGUGGGGUCCAUUCCACGGGUUCCGUGCCGUAGCUAACGCUUUAAGUACCCCGCCUGGGGAGUACGGCCGCAAGGCUAAAACUCAAAGGAAUUGACGGGGCCCCGCACAAGCGGCGGAGCAUGCGGAUUAAUUCGAUGCAACGCGUAGAACCUUACCUGGGUUUGACAUGGAUCGGGAGCGCUCAGAGAUGGGUGUGCCUCUUUUGGGGUCGGUUCACAGGUGGUGCAUGGCUGUCGUCAGCUCGUGUCGUGAGAUGUUGGGUUAAGUCCCGCAACGAGCGCAACCCUUGUUCACUGUUGCCAGCACGUUAUGGUGGGGACUCAGUGGAGACCGCCGGGGUCAACUCGGAGGAAGGUGGGGAUGACGUCAAGUCAUCAUGCCCCUUAUGUCCAGGGCUUCACGCAUGCUACAAUGGCUGGUACAGAGAGUGGCGAGCCUGUGAGGGUGAGCGAAUCUCGGAAAGCCGGUCUCAGUUCGGAUUGGGGUCUGCAACUCGACCUCAUGAAGUCGGAGUCGCUAGUAAUCGCAGAUCAGCAACGCUGCGGUGAAUACGUUCCCGGG
RNAcentral lists this ribosomal RNA (1343 nucleotides) under uncultured bacterium. RNAcentral describes it as "16S ribosomal RNA". It matches the Rfam family "Bacterial small subunit ribosomal RNA", at positions 28 to 1378 of the family's 1533-position model. The record is from RNAcentral.